RNAcentral lists this small RNA (578 nucleotides) under Pan troglodytes (chimpanzee). Its description in RNAcentral is "processed transcript". Lineage: Eukaryota; Metazoa; Chordata; Mammalia; Primates; Hominidae. The record is from RNAcentral.
GCAGAGAAGCAGGCAAAAGCCAGGGAAUCUGGCUCUUCCACUGCAGAAGAGGGAGAUUUCUCCAAGGGCCCCAUUCGCUGUGACCGCUGCGGCUACAAUACCAAUCGAUAUGAUCACUAUACAGCACACCUGAAACACCACACCAGAGCUGGGGAUAAUGAGCGAGUCUACAAGUGCAUCAUUUGCACAUACACAACAGUGAGCGAGUAUCACUGGAGGAAACAUUUAAGAAACCAUUUUCCAAGGAAAGUAUACACAUGUGGAAAAUGCAACUAUUUUUCAGACAGAAAAAACAAUUAUGUUCAGCAUGUUAGAACUCAUACAGGAGAACGCCCAUAUAAAUGUGAACUUUGUCCUUACUCAAGUUCUCAGAAGACUCAUCUAACUAGACAUAUGCGUACUCAUUCAGUGGGGUAUGGAUACCAUUUGGUAAUAUUUACUAGAGUGUGAUCUAGAUGGGUGAGAAGCCAUUUAAAUGUGAUCAGUGCAGUUAUGUGGCCUCUAAUCAACAUGAAGUAACCCGCCAUGCAAGACAGGUUCACAAUGGACCUAAACCUCUUAAUUGCCCACACUGUGAU